Molecule: long non-coding RNA, 1585 nt
Organism: Setaria italica (foxtail millet)
Lineage: Eukaryota; Viridiplantae; Streptophyta; Magnoliopsida; Poales; Poaceae
Exons: 4
Source: RefSeq, a predicted model, not a curated record
AGCUCAACUGAUGACACAUCUCGAGAGGGAACUAAACGUAGAAGACGACGGACUCCGUCUUCAAGAAAUGCUAGGAAAACUGAGGUAGUUUCGACUUCUUGACGAGGGGAAUUUGAUGUGCUAUGAGGCCUAUAACACUAUAACACCAGGAGAUGUCCUGGUUGUAAGGCACGUUGUCACACGCUCGUCUCCCCACUCGCGCACUCCAUUUUUGCUGUACUAAACCUCUUGCUAUUGCGCCUCGUCGACCUUUGAAUUCGACGUGCACCGGACUUGAAGGAAAGCGGGAUCUCCGAAACUACUAUCGCGCGACACUUGCACGGGGUGGCAAUCAGGUUUUUUGGCAGCGUCUACACGCGACCGCUUAGUGAUUCUGCAACAUCUGCUUCAACACGUUUGACUUUGUUCUACGUGGGAUCAUUGAUGACGGCAAAUGCAUUUGAUGCCAUUAAGAACUUCCGCAGAUGGCAGACAAGGGCCAAGUUUUGGCUCAUGUCAUUGGGGCUAUGGUGGGUGAUAUACUCUGUGUUUCCCUUCACAGAAGAGCAAACUAUGCAGUUUGAGAAUGCAAAUAACACCGCAUUGGGUUGCAUCCAAACCAUCUUGGCGGACUAACUCUAUGAUGUGUAUAUGAAUUACACAUCGACCACUGUGCUGUGGGAGGCUUUGGAGCAAAAGUAUGCAGAAGCCGAAGCCGAAGCCAGUCGCUGGCUGUAUGUGUGUGGAAAGUUCUUUGAUUUCAGCAUGGAUAGUGCUAAAUCAAUUGUAACUCAAGCACACGACCUCCAGUUUCUAGUUGGUGAGAUUGCACAUUUGGGAUGUGCUCUACGUCCAAAGUUUGUUGCAGUAGCGAUUGUUGCUAAACUUCCUACAGAGUGGCGUGAUUUUGCUACAUCUCUGAAGCACAAAAGAGAAGAUAUUUCUAUAGAAGAUCUCAUUGCAGCUCUUAAUGUGGAAGAGAAGGCAAGGGUAAAAAAUGUGCAGGUGAAGAACGUGCAUAACAGUGUCAAUUUUGUUCAAAAGAAGAAACAAUUUAAUAAGAAGAAAGGGUCCCAAGGCUAAUAAGAUUACUAGCUUUAAAGAGAAGAAAACAGAGAAGAAGGAUUUGAAGGACAUCACCUAUUACGUGUGCGGUAAUCCUGGUCACAUUGCCAAGGAUUGUCAUGACCGCAAGGAUAAGACCACUGAACUGAGCAAAAAGUUAACUCAUGUGACCAUUGGCAAGGCCUCGAUUUCAGGAGGGCAGCAGGGGCUUCCAGCGUCCUAAUGGGAAACGGAACGCGUUCUUCUGUUCUUGGUGUUCGUACGGUAGAUCUGAAGCUUACUUCAAGGAAAACCAUCUAAUUGAAGAAUGUCCAGCAUGCGCCUGCGAUAAACAAGAACUUGUUGAGUGGGUCUCUCCUAUGUAGGAGUGGUUAUAAGCUAGUAUUCAAGUUGAAUAAAGUUGUAGUGUCUAAAUUUGGGGUGUUUAUAGGAAAAGGCUAUGACAGCGGAGGCUUGUUCCGCCUAAGUACUAUGGAUUCUUUUUAUAGUUUGAAUUUUACUACUGGUUUGAAUAAAAAUUCUGCUGAUGUAUGGCAUUCGA